This 73-nucleotide transfer RNA is filed under the name Sus scrofa (pig). It matches the Rfam family "tRNA". From Rfam's summary of the family: Transfer RNA (tRNA) molecules are approximately 80 nucleotides in length. Their secondary structure includes four short double-helical elements and three loops (D, anti-codon, and T loops). Further hydrogen bonds mediate the characteristic L-shaped molecular structure. tRNAs have two regions of fundamental functional importance: the anti-codon, which is responsible for specific mRNA codon recognition, and the 3' end, to which the tRNAs corresponding amino acid is attached (by aminoacyl-tRNA synthetases). tRNAs cope with the degeneracy of the genetic code in two manners: having more than one tRNA (with a specific anti-codon) for a particular amino acid; and 'wobble' base-pairing, i.e. permitting non-standard base-pairing at the 3rd anti-codon position. The record is from Rfam by way of RNAcentral. Lineage: Eukaryota; Metazoa; Chordata; Mammalia; Artiodactyla; Suidae.
UCCCUGGUGGCCUAGUGGUUAAGGAUCUAGCCUUGUCACUGCUAUGGCACAGGUUUGAUUCCUGACCCAGGAA